This 270-nucleotide ribosomal RNA is filed under the name uncultured bacterium. Its description in RNAcentral is "partial 16S ribosomal RNA". It matches the Rfam family "Bacterial small subunit ribosomal RNA", at positions 84 to 354 of the family's 1533-position model. The record is from RNAcentral.
CGGGUACUUUAGUGGCGAACGGGUGAGUAAUACAUAGGUAACCUACCCUUAAGACGAGGAUAGCCAUUGGAAACGAUUGAUAAAACUGGAUAGGAUAUAGAGGAAGAAUCUUUUAUAUUUAAAAGAGAGAUCUGCUUAAGGAGGGGCCUGUGGCGCAUUAGCUAGUUGGUGGGGUAAGGGCCUACCAAGGCGAUGAUGCGUAGCCGGACUGAGAGGUUGAACGGCCACAAUGGAACUGAGAACGGUCCAUACUCCUACGGAAGGCAGCAG